UAGGGAAUCUUCGGCAAUGGGGGGAACCCUGACCGAGCAACGCCGCGUGAGUGGAGAAGGUUUUCGGAUCGUAAAGCUCUGUUGUUAAGGAAGAACGAGUGUGAGAAUGGAAAGUUCAUACUGUGACGGUACUUAACCAGAAAGGGACGGCUAACUACGUGCCAGCAGCCGCGGUAAUACGUAGGUCCCGAGCGUUGUCCGGAUUUAUUGGGCGUAAAGCGAGCGCAGGCGGUUAGAUAAGUCUGAAGUGAAAGGCAGUGGCUCAACCAUUGUAGGCUUUGGAAACUGUUUAACUUGAGUGCAGAAGGGGAGAGUGGAAUUCCAUGUGUAGCGGUGAAAUGCGUAGAUAUAUGGAGGAACACCGGUGGCGAAAGCGGCUCUCUGGUCUGUAACUGACGCUGAGGCUCGAAAGCGUGGGGAGCGAACAGG
RNAcentral lists this ribosomal RNA (429 nucleotides) under Bacteroidota bacterium. Its description in RNAcentral is "Bacteroidetes bacterium partial 16S ribosomal RNA". It matches the Rfam family "Bacterial small subunit ribosomal RNA", at positions 355 to 776 of the family's 1533-position model. The record is from RNAcentral. Lineage: Bacteria; Pseudomonadati; Bacteroidota.